RNAcentral lists this ribosomal RNA (264 nucleotides) under uncultured bacterium. Its description in RNAcentral is "partial 16S ribosomal RNA". It matches the Rfam family "Bacterial small subunit ribosomal RNA", at positions 793 to 1055 of the family's 1533-position model. The record is from RNAcentral.
GUCCACGCCGUAAACGAUGAGAACUAGGUGUUGCGGGUAUUGACCCCUGCAGUGCCGCAGCUAACGCAUUAAGUUCUCCGCCUGGGAAGUACGGUCGCAAGACUAAAACUCAAAGGAAUUGACGGGGCCGCACAAGCGGUGGAGCAUGUGGUUUAAUUCGACGCAACGCGCAGAACCUUACCUGGGCUUGACAUCUACGGAACCUCUGUGAAAGCAGGGGGUGCCUUUCGGGGAGCCGUAAGACAGGUGCUGCAUGGCUGUCGU